This 77-nucleotide transfer RNA is filed under the name bacterium. RNAcentral's name for it is "tRNA-Lys". It matches the Rfam family "tRNA". From Rfam's summary of the family: Transfer RNA (tRNA) molecules are approximately 80 nucleotides in length. Their secondary structure includes four short double-helical elements and three loops (D, anti-codon, and T loops). The record is from RNAcentral.
GGGCCCGUAGCUCAGCCAGGCAGAGCGUCCGGCUCUUAACCGGAAGGUCGCGGGUUCAAAUCCCGCCGGGCCCGCCA